AGGGGAAACGAUAUUGGAAGCUUGCUUCCGAUAGGCGUCGACCGGCGCACGGGUGAGUAACACGUAUCCAACCUGCCCAUCACUUGGGGAUAACCUUGCGAAAGUAAGACUAAUACCCAAUGGCGUCUCUAGAAGACAUCUGGAGGAGAUUAAGGAUUUAUCGGUGAUGGAUGGGGAUGCGUCUGAUUAGCUUGUUGGCGGGGUAACGGCCCACCAAGGCUACGAUCAGUAGGGGUUCUGAGAGGAAGGUCCCCCACAUUGGAACUGAGACACGGUCCAAACUCC
RNAcentral lists this ribosomal RNA (285 nucleotides) under uncultured Prevotella sp. RNAcentral describes it as "partial 16S ribosomal RNA". It matches the Rfam family "Bacterial small subunit ribosomal RNA", at positions 65 to 339 of the family's 1533-position model. The record is from RNAcentral. Lineage: Bacteria; Pseudomonadati; Bacteroidota; Bacteroidia; Bacteroidales; Prevotellaceae.